GCGGGGACGACCCUGC
This 16-nucleotide unclassified non-coding RNA is filed under the name Pseudomonas aeruginosa. Its description in RNAcentral is "RNA (5'-R(*GP*CP*GP*GP*GP*GP*AP*CP*GP*AP*CP*CP*CP*UP*GP*C)-3') from Pseudomonas aeruginosa (PDB 5VJ9, chain B)". Lineage: Bacteria; Pseudomonadati; Pseudomonadota; Gammaproteobacteria; Pseudomonadales; Pseudomonadaceae. RNAcentral also lists the same sequence under 1 other name. The record is from RNAcentral.